AUUGAACGCUGGCGGCAUGCCUUACACAUGCAAGUCGAACGGCAGCACGGGAGCAAUCCUGGUGGCGAGUGGCGAACGGGUGAGUAAAGUAUCGGAACGUGCCCAGUCGUGGGGGAUAACGUAGCGAAAGUUACGCUAAUACCGCAUACGAUCUAUGGAUGAAAGCGGGGGAUCGCAAGACCUCGCGCGAUUGGAGCGGCCGAUAUCAGAUUAGGUAGUUGGUGGGGUAAAGGCUCACCAAGCCGACGAUCUGUAGCUGGUCUGAGAGGACGACCAGCCACACUGGGACUGAGACACAGCCCAGGCUCCUACGGGAGGCAGCAGUGGGGAAUUUUGGACAAUGGGCGAAAGCCUGAUUCAGCCAUGCCGCGUGCAGGAUGAAGGCCUUCGGGUUGUAAACUGCUUUUGUACGGAACGAAAAGGUUUGGCCUAAUAAGCUGAGCUCAUGACGGUACCGUAAGAAUAAGCACCGGCUAACUACGUGCCAGCCGCCGCCGUAA
Molecule: ribosomal RNA, 500 nt
Filed under: uncultured bacterium
Lineage: Bacteria
Description: partial 16S ribosomal RNA
Rfam family: Bacterial small subunit ribosomal RNA
Source: RNAcentral